RNAcentral lists this transfer RNA (76 nucleotides) under Paracoccaceae bacterium. RNAcentral describes it as "Rhodobacteraceae bacterium tRNA-Thr". It matches the Rfam family "tRNA". Rfam says of the family: Transfer RNA (tRNA) molecules are approximately 80 nucleotides in length. RNAcentral also lists the same sequence under 2 other names. Lineage: Bacteria; Pseudomonadati; Pseudomonadota; Alphaproteobacteria; Rhodobacterales; Paracoccaceae. The record is from RNAcentral.
GCCUCUAUAGCUCAGCUGGUAGAGCGGCUGAUUUGUAAUCAGCGGGUCGGGAGUUCGAGUCUCUCUGGGGGCACCA